RNAcentral lists this transfer RNA (72 nucleotides) under Camelus ferus (Wild Bactrian camel). It matches the Rfam family "tRNA". Rfam says of the family: Transfer RNA (tRNA) molecules are approximately 80 nucleotides in length. Their secondary structure includes four short double-helical elements and three loops (D, anti-codon, and T loops). Lineage: Eukaryota; Metazoa; Chordata; Mammalia; Artiodactyla; Camelidae. The record is from Rfam by way of RNAcentral.
GAGGGUAUAGCUUAGUGGUAGAACACACGCCUAGCAAGCACAAGGUCCUGGGUUCAAUCCCCAGUACCUCCA